GCGGGGCAUGGUGGUGCAUGCCUGUAAUCCCGGCUACUUGGGAGGCUGAGGUAGGAGAAUUGCUUGAACCUGGGAGGCAGGGGUUGCAGUGAGCCGAGAUUGUGCCACUGCACUCCAGCCUAGGUGACAGAGUGAGACUCUAUCUCAA
This 148-nucleotide small RNA is filed under the name Macaca fascicularis (crab-eating macaque). RNAcentral's name for it is "Metazoan signal recognition particle RNA (ENSMFAG00000063961.1)". Lineage: Eukaryota; Metazoa; Chordata; Mammalia; Primates; Cercopithecidae. The record is from Rfam by way of RNAcentral.